Molecule: regulatory RNA element, 78 nt
Organism: Eubacterium sp. CAG:274
Lineage: Bacteria; Bacillati; Bacillota; Clostridia; Eubacteriales; Eubacteriaceae
Rfam family: S10-Clostridia ribosomal protein leader
Source: Rfam
UAGGAGCGAUGAUGCAGAGGUUGCCUAGAGAUAGGGUUUUCUGCGGAGCGAUGUCCAGUUCAAGAAACCGGGCGACAA